UAGUUUAACAGCUCCAUGGCGUGUGGGGAAACUGAGCAAACCCGGCCGGACAAAUAAAGGACAAGCGACAGGGGGAAGGAGGGAGCUGGCGAAGUAAGCAACAGAUGUCUCUUCGAAAGGGAAAGAGGAAGCACGGACCUAGGGGAAAAGGAGGCAGCAAGCUGGCGAAAAUAGUGGACGAAGAAGGAGGCCCUAGGAUGAGGCCGUUCUCUUGCGGCUAGAGCAGCGGCCACAGAGGUCGCCGCCGCAGACGCAGCAGAUCCCAAGGCUGUUCCAGCCGCAGCAGAUCCCAAGACUGUUUCAGCCGCAUCAGAUCCGGGGGCAGUUCGAAGCAGUUCGAGCCGCAGCUGUUCCACGCUACCCGCCUCCGUCGCUGCCCCUCACCUCGAGCAAACCUAACAUUCGGUCUUCAACAGGAGCCGUAGGGCUCGAACUAAAGGCGGAACCUUCGGGUAGGACGUGUCCCCCAUCCCCGCACCUGCACUCCGAGGUCCCACGAUGAUGGUGCAUACCGGCCGGGGCAUCAGGGCACCUAUUCGUCGCUCGCCUAAAAAAAUGUAGUACUUGGACAUGAUGUCACCGCUACGUAAAGACGGAUGUUAAUAACGGCACUAGAUGUUGAAGUUCGGAAACAAACGACGAUGUAUGCCUUUAUGAUGAAAAUCGUAUCCUUUAAAACUCAGCUCUAAAGAUGGUCGAGACUUUCAGUUAAAGUCCAUACUGAGUUCUCAAAAGGAAGAAGUAUAGAAUCGUUGAUGUCUCCAGAACCUUACCUCCCAAAGAGAUUACUACUAGAUGUUCCAGAUGUACUCUUUAACGAAAAGCUCUAACAGUGAACGUUCCUGUUACUUUAAGUCGACGGUAAACAUUGAAGAAAGGACGUCUCUGUACCAGGUUUACGUUGUCUUAAAAGGUUGAGUUUCCUUAUCAUGGCACUCCCUUGAGAAGAUAAAGAAAUAAUCGACAUUUCUUCCGAGGGGUUACUUCGACAAGGUAACCAAAGGGUCACUAUGAAACACAGUAAUGAAAGUCAACAUUUCUUCCAAAUUUAGACGUCUUAUUCAAACAUUUCUUCGAGUUUGUACGAAGAUAUGAGUAUGAAAGAACCUAAAAGUUACCAAAAUUGAUCGUCAACUUUGUUGUUUUUAGGAGAAAACAUACAAGGAACAGAAACACAUACCAGAACAACCUUUAGAAGAAGUGUUGUCAAGUUGUUUGUCAACUUUGUGUGUCUUUGUUGUCUAAUGAAAAGGUCUAACAUUGAAAGUUCCUAUUACUUUAAGUCGAAGGCAAACAUUGAAGAAAGGACAUCUCUGUACAAUCAAGAGGUAAGGAAAAUAAGGUUCCUAUUAACUCUUAAAACAUGGAGGAAAAUAGUACAAGAUACAUGACUAUUCAUGUAAAAAGUCAAUCAGAUUAGUGUACACACAAAGUUUUCCCAAAGGCU
RNAcentral lists this ribosomal RNA (1447 nucleotides) under Triticum aestivum (bread wheat). RNAcentral's name for it is "partial small subunit ribosomal RNA". The record is from RNAcentral. Lineage: Eukaryota; Viridiplantae; Streptophyta; Magnoliopsida; Poales; Poaceae.